Chiroxiphia lanceolata (lance-tailed manakin) is the source of this 4152-nucleotide RNA transcript. It is a transcript of the gene named HAUS augmin like complex subunit 8, with no coding region annotated. The transcript has 12 exons. The record is from RefSeq and is a predicted model, not a curated record. Lineage: Eukaryota; Metazoa; Chordata; Aves; Passeriformes; Pipridae.
CGGUGCUGCGCGGGCGCGUUGGUUCAAACGCGAUGGCGGCUGAGGCGGCUUAGGGUUGAGGGGGAGGGAUCUCUGCCUGGCCCCUUCUCUCUCUCGCUACUGCUUUGGCAGGAUGUCUGCGCACAGGAGAGACCCCGGCACCGCGGCGGCCGGCGGACAAGCGCCUGUAGCUAAGCGGAAAGGAGGAAGAACGGUGCAGUCUCGUUACCUGCAGUACGACAAGAAGAACACCGAGAAGGGUGCUUCAGCAAGUUCCUCUUCAUUGUGUGCUGCCCCACCAUCUUCUGCAGCUAAACCAAAAUCAAUUCUUUCUCAGAAACAUGAAACUUCUGUUGGUGUUGGCUAUAGCUUAAGUCAGAGUAUCUUUGAGAAUGGUGACUUGCAGUCCACCUUAUUAGAUGAAGAAAAAAUUAAAAGACCGGACCUUGAUCUCUCAGCUAUUAAUGAUAAAACUGUCCACAAGAAGAGUGAUUGUUCAGAAUCAGCUGAAGAAGGAGAUGCAUGGACACAGACAGAGAAAACUGGAGCAGAAACUGAUUCCAGUGAUUCAAUGACAGAGAUGGAAUCUGAGACACUACUUUUAACUUACUUAAGAAUAGAGACAGGAAAAAAUCUUGCCAAGCUGGAGGAAAAAGCAGAAAAAAACUUGAUGAUGUUGUCUGAAGAAAAGCAGAGACAACAGGAGAAGCUCUUGGAGUUGAAACGUGAAAUCCUGUUUAAAGAGAGAGAGCAGAAGCUCAGUGAAGCAUUAGACAAACAGAUUGAAGUGCUGUCUCCCCUCAUUCCUGUCUGUGAACAGUUUCAAAAGCAAUAUAAAAGCUUUGCAGCUUCCCUGGAUGCCACUAGACAUGAAUUACCCAUAAAGAACAUUCACAUAGAAGGAGAUAAGCAAGCAUAUCUUGAUGAACUGGGAAAGCAAUUAAAGAUCACACAGGAGCUUCUGACAGAAAUUAUGCCAAGACACUCAGAAGACUGUGCAAAAGCACUUACUGCCCUGAAAGAGCUUAAAGAAGUGUCUCAGAAACUGGAUAAAGAGCUUCAAAGGAGCUUCAGAGAAGUGCAGAACCUGUCGUUUGAAGUCAGUAAAGAAGUUUCUCUGCAUAACCAAAGUGCAUGUGAAGAGAAGCACGGGCUAGAUGUUGUGAAACGCUGGUAUUUCAACUAAGUUUCUGUAUAGUUUUACUGCUGGGCUAAUGAGAACUUAUUGGAUUACUGCAGUCUUCCCUGCCUCAGAGUAAAUACCACUUUGUUGGAGAUCCGGAAAUUCAUCCUGAAUGUGAUAAACAAACUGCUGACUGGGCUGGGACUGCCAGGACAUGAAAAGAGUUCCAGAGUGGCAGAAGAUCUAAUAGCUCUGAAAUGCACCACUGAACCACACCAAUUAAGAACAUUUCCAGUGAUUAAGUGAGCGUUCCUGCUCAACUCAGGAAUGAUUUUGGGUUGUUUCUUCUACUGCAUUUGUGUGUGGCCUGCAAAGCAAACACAAGAGAUACCUGUUUUCCUGGAAGGAGGAUCAGUCUGGUUUCCAGCACUGUGGACUGAUGCAUUCUCUGUCAAGCCUUUAUCCUGGGGAACUUCCAAGAGUGUGGCAAAGCCUGGGACAUUUGUUUUGCAGUUAUCGGUUUCUGUAUUUGCUAUCUCUGUUUGGCUAUCCCAGAAACACAAAGGGAGAACUAAACUGGGAGUUAAAGAAUGGAUGUGGCUUUUUUACUAUAAAAAUUAAUUAAGGCUUUAUUCUUGUCUGGUGCUAUGUAAUGACUGAGACAAACAUUUUUCCAUUGGGGAGUGAAGACAAAUGAUUCUGGAAACUGAGGACUUGUUCUUUAUUUCUCGCCCACCUUCUACUGAAAUCUAGUGCUUACAGGACUUAACACAAAGCUGAAUAAGUAAUAACCUUGGGUUUAGUACAGUAUCUUUUCUGUGCACAAUUUACAUAUAUAGUCUCAAAAUCUUUAAAUAAGUAUUACCUUUUAUAGAUCUGAUCUGAUCAUCUGUGUCACAGGUUGGUGACAGCAGUUAUGCUGAGGCAAUUAACAAGGGCUAAUUAUUAAUAGGGUGGUCCUACCACUUGAUUCUUGGGAGUAAUGUCACUGAUUUGAAUUUUGCAGUUGGAGGGGGGAUCCAAAAGGAUUCACAGCACUCAAAAAUUAACAUUUUUUGUUUGACAAAUAUCUGUCUGAUAAUUUUCACAUUGCACAGUUUAUUUAUGAGGUAGAUGGGACAUCGGGGCGAUAAUUUCUUCUGUAGAGAAGUGAUAAGAUUGUACAAGGGGUCAGGAUGUAAAUUAGAUCUAGUCAGAACCAAUAUAGGUGUAUUUGCACCUUCUUCUCUUAACUGCUGUCCCUCUCUCACCUUUCUGACACCAGUAUGGCCCCACAUGUUUUCAAGUGCCUGAGAUUCCUCAAACUUCAUGAGGAGCAGAAUUACACAUUCAGUAAACGAAUAAAAAUCCUAGCUAUGCGCAGUGGGUGAAUAUGACCCAUGGAUCUGACUGAUGAAUAGUUUUUAUACAUGAGCAGUUCUUACAGCCUUUAAACUCCUUAACCAUUCCCAGAUGUGGGUUGCAGGCGGCUGCUGGAAUUCCAACACCUGUUGCAUCACACUGAAUGGGAUUCAUUUUGGCAAGCACAGAAAAUUCCAUUUCAGUAAGUAAAUAGUUUGAAAUUAUAUCUAAAGCCUCCUUUUUUUUUUUCAGACGAAGCUGAUUCCAGCCGUAUUUACAGGAUUGCACAUACUUUCAUAAUUAGAAGAUGGUUUGCUUUAAAGGUUGUAAUUGCCUGAGAUUUCUUGUACUCAGUAAAUGUCAAACAGAAAUUCUUCAGUUUAGAAGAAAUCUCACCUUUAAAAAAGUUAGUUAUUCCAAAGGGCUCUAUUCCACAUAAGGGGAAUUUCUAGCUGUGCUUUUUGAAAUGUAGAAAUACACAUUUGUGUAUUAUUCUGAAGAUGAUGGAGCUCCAUUUUAGAGCUACACUUUGCUCCAUUUAUCAAUUCAUUGCUGAAUCCUGUUGCUUCUUUCGAGUCCUUACCCAGAGCUUUCUCAAAGAUGAAAUGUGGGUGACAGGAUGGGUGUUCAGUGGCACUUGGUGAUUUUUUUGGUACAUAUCCUACAGAUCUCAAGUAUGAGUCUGUAAUGAACCAUUUGUGGUUUGCUCUGUAAAAGUAUGUGUAGAGAUAAUUAUUUUUUCGAAAGCAUGAUGAUGUUCCAGCCCAAACAUACCUGAUCUCUGCAGAGCUUCUAUCAAAGUCAAUAGUUUGGUUGGUGAGAUAUUGUACUUUAGUUUGAGGCUGCCAUACCGUGAGAACAGCAGAGGUGCUUCAUUUUAAUUUUUUACCUCCUUUAAUAUGAUGAAUAUGAUGAAGCUGAAAAAGAAUUUGGAAUUAGCAGAUUUUGCUUUUUCUUUAGUUUGUCUCAAAAACCCCGAACAAACAAACAAACAAAAAGCCAAACCCAAAACAUUCCCCCUUUAAUGUACUUUCUAAUAAGUUCCUUCUCACAGUACAUGGUUUCCUUGGGAAGUGAUCCCUGUGGUUCUAGAGUCUAGUCUUGUCUAAUUUGUCAAAAUGUGUUUGUUCUUCUUCUAGAUUUGUUCUGCCUCUCUACAAAAAUAAGGCAGGGCUGAUUUAGGUUAGAUUUAAGUAGGAAAAUGUAACCAUGUCUGGCAGUGUUAUCCACUAUUGAAGAUAAUCUGAAUUUAUCAAAAACCUACUGAGUUAAUGAUUUUAUUUUAAAGAGAAGACAUAUUAAAGUAAGUUCCAAAUAAGAUAAAAAUUUAGGCACCAUUUAUUUAUCUCCUGGUUAAGGACCGAUCAGCCUCUGAGUCCUGUUACUGAAAUUGUCCGGGAAUCCUUGUUCCUUUUGAUGACUUUGUGCUUUUAGGGAAUGGAUUGCCUUGCAGAAAAUGUGGUAGCUAGGAAUGACAGUGCUGAAAUAUAUGGUAGCUGAAAUUAUUUCAAGAUGGAGAAAAAUAACAGCAGUUUUAGCAACUUGCUCUUUUUCUUGUCAGAAGCCAGAAGGAAGGGACUUUGGGAAACUCUUGAGCUGACUUGGAUACAAAUGUGUAUUUUUGCUAAAUAAAAUGCUGUGAUUUUGAGAAGAAAUGAAACUGAGGGUCAAAUAUUGGAGCCAACCUCGAAUAAAAGGUUAUAAUUGUU